GCCUAUGACCAUACGACCCUAAAUGUAACUGAUCUCAUCUACUCUCAGAAGAUAAGCAGGAACAGUUCUGAUUAGUCCUUGAAUGGGAGAAUUUUCAAUGUAUAUCCAUAGGAC
RNAcentral lists this ribosomal RNA (114 nucleotides) under Jaculus jaculus (lesser Egyptian jerboa). The record is from RNAcentral. Lineage: Eukaryota; Metazoa; Chordata; Mammalia; Rodentia; Dipodidae.